RNAcentral lists this ribosomal RNA (510 nucleotides) under uncultured bacterium. Its description in RNAcentral is "partial 16S ribosomal RNA". It matches the Rfam family "Bacterial small subunit ribosomal RNA", at positions 28 to 507 of the family's 1533-position model. The record is from RNAcentral.
GACGAACGCUGGCGGCGUGCUUAACACAUGCAAGUCGAACGAAGAGCGAUGGAAGCUUGCUUCUCUCAAUCUUAGUGGCGAACGGGUGAGUAACGCGUAAUCAACCUGCCCUUCAGAGGGGGACAACAGUUGGAAACGACUGCUAAUACCGCAUACGAUCUAAUCUCGGCAUCGAGGAUAGAUGAAAGGUGGCCUCUACAUGUAAGCUAUCACUGAAGGAGGGGAUUGCGUCUGAUUAGCUAGUUGGAGGGGUAACGGCCCACCAAGGCGAUGAUCAGUAGCCGGUCUGAGAGGAUGAACGGCCACAUUGGGACUGAGACACGGCCCAGACUCCUACGGGAGGCAGCAGUGGGGAAUCUUCCGCAAUGGACGAAAGUCUGACGGAGCAACGCCGCGUGAGCGAUGACGGCCUUCGGGUUGUAAAGCUCUGUUAAUCGGGACGAAAGGCCUUCUUGCGAAUAGGGAGAAGGAUUGACGGUACCGGAAUAGAAAGCCACGGCUAACUACGUG